GUGGUGGGUGAUGGCGUGCCUUUUGAAGAAUGAGCCUGCGAGUUAGUGCUCGGUGGCGAGGUUAACCCGUGUGGGGUAGCCGUAGCGAAAGCGAGUCUGAAUAGGGCGUGGAGUCGCCGGGUCUAGACCCGAAGCGGAGUGAUCUACCCAUGGCCAGGGUGAAGCGUCGGUAAGACGUCGUGGAGGCCCGAACCCACUUCAGUUGAAAAUGGAGGGGAUGAGUUGUGGGUAGGGGUGAAAGGCCAAUCAAACUCCGUGAUAGCUGGUUCUCCCCGAAAUGCAUUUAGGUGCAGCGUGGUGUGUUUCUUACUGGAGGUAGAGCUACUGGAUGGCCGAUGGGCCCUACUAGGUUACUGACGUCAGCCAAACUCCGAAUGCCGGUAAGUGAGAGCACUGCAGUGAGACUGCGGGCGAUAAGGUUCGUAGUCGAGAGGGAAACAGCCCAGAUCGCCGGCUAAGGCCCCUAAGCGUGUACUAAGUGGAAAAGGAUGUGGGGUCGCGAAGACAACCAGGAGGUUGGCUUAGAAGCAGCCACCCUUGAAAGAGUGCGUAAUAGCUCACUGGUCAAGUGAUCCUGCGCCGACAAUGUAGCGGGGCUCAAGUACACCGCCGAAGCCGCGGCACUCCACCAUGACAUCCACAGUCGUCUACGGAUGGCUGUGUAGUGGGUGGGGUGGGUAGGGGAGCGUCCUGCAUCCGUGGAAGCGCCCGUGUGAACGAGGUGUGGAGGGUGUGGGAGUGAGAAUGCAGGCAUGAGUAGCGAAAGCAGAGUGAGAAACUCUGCCGCCGGAUGACCAAGGGUUCCUGGGCCAGGCUAUUCCGCCCAGGGUGAGUCGGGACCUAAGGCGAGGCCGACAGGCGUAGUCGAUGGACAACGGGUUGAUAUUCCCGUACCCGUGUAUCCGCGUCCAUGCUGAAUCAACUGUACUAACCAUCCAAAACCAGAUGGAUCACCUUCGGGUGACCGGAUGGGGCUGCAUGGGACCUUGGUUGGUAGUAGGCAAGCGAUGGGGUGACGCAGGAAGGUAGUGGGGCCAGUCAGUGGUUGUACUGGUGUAAGCCUGUAGGACGAACGGUAGGCAAAUCCGCCGUUCAUGUGUCUGAGAGGUGAUGCGUAGCCGUUGCGGUGAAUUCCAUGAUCCUAUGCUGCCGAGAAAAGCCUCUAGUGAGUUGGUACACGGCCCGUACCCCAAACCAACACAGGUGGUCAGGUAGAGAAUACUAAGGCGAUCGAGAGAACUGUGGUUAAGGAACUCGGCAAAAUGCCCCCGUAACUUCGGGAGAAGGGGGACCCAUCCCGGUGACCGCCCU
RNAcentral lists this ribosomal RNA (1311 nucleotides) under Gordonia mangrovi. RNAcentral's name for it is "Bacterial large subunit ribosomal RNA". It matches the Rfam family "Bacterial large subunit ribosomal RNA", at positions 586 to 1770 of the family's 2925-position model. The record is from Rfam by way of RNAcentral. Lineage: Bacteria; Bacillati; Actinomycetota; Actinomycetes; Mycobacteriales; Gordoniaceae.